RNAcentral lists this long non-coding RNA (5849 nucleotides) under Homo sapiens (human). RNAcentral describes it as "non-protein coding LINC02520:39". Lineage: Eukaryota; Metazoa; Chordata; Mammalia; Primates; Hominidae. The record is from RNAcentral.
GCAAGCAUGUCACCAGGAGCAGAGCACAGAGGGACAACACAGCUUUUGCGCUUCCAGCUGGCUCCCAUCAAGAAGUUAGAAGGGAGCCUGCAAACACAUUUCCUGCUAUCAUCUCUCCACCCCAGAAUGACUUUCCCUGGUAGAGCUGGGGGAGGGGAGGCGGGCAGCAGGCCCCCCAGGAGGCCCUGGGCAGGAAUAUUAAUACUCCAACUUCCCAGCACAAGAGGAGGGAGGAGGAGCGGCCACGGCGCAGUCCGGUCCUGGGGGCCCUGGAAGGUGGUUGCUGAGCAGCCCGUGGGAGGCACGGAUCCGCCAGCUCACGGCGGCAGGGGCCGCCCAAGUCCUAAUGAAAACACCUAGCUCCUGGCAGGGCGCAGCCGACACAUCGCCCUGCCUUCUCGGCCACCUGGGAGAGGAUGGGCGCCGCACGCGGAUACCCAACCUGCCGGGUUGUGCUCGCAGUGACAUCGCUUUUCUCCCGGCAAGUGCAUCCAUCUCGCUGGGUCUGGAUAGAUAACACAAUCUCUCUGCCCACACCCCAUUUGCUGGGAGACAGCCUGGGCUUCUCCAUUUUUUAUGGGCUCACUUAGCUUGGAGGAAAUCCAGAGGUCAAAGCCGGCGCAGACGCUCCAGUCACCUUGCCCGUCCGGGCGCGCAGCCAUUCCGAAACGGGCUCACCCACGGGGCCCUAAAUUACGGCGAUUACACUGCAAUUCGCAGCGCGAUAUUACUUUGAUACACUACCUGCUGCAGCUUGGCCCGGGAGGCGUGCAUUAUUUACCAGGGAGGCUGUCCGUACUGCGCACCAGAGCUGACAGCGCUCCGCGGGGUCCCUCCUGUCCCUACAGCCCCGCCUUCGCCCGCGGUGCGGGGUCUGGAGGCAGUGGGGCGGGGGCAGGGGGUCACUGGAGCAGCCCCGCUCUCUCGGAGUGACCGUUUCCUGAACGCAAUAUAGCCCGGAGAGGACCCAGUGGCGGAAGCGGCAGCUGGCGAUGAGGUUGGGGGUUAGUAGGUGGGAACAAGUGCUGAGCCCGCAGCUCCUCCUGGCUCUUAAGGACACCCAGACCCUCCUUAGCCGGCCUAUAAGGGCCCUUGUUGCGCGCGCGCAGGGACCCACACAGGGCCUGCCCAGGGGUGCAAGGCUGGUCCCUGGCCCCUGGCCAACUGUUAAAACGGCUAGCAGCCGGCUAACCCCACCGGCAGGCUCCAGGAUUUAGCCUGUGGCGGCUGGUGGCGGAGAUGGAGGGAACUCAGGCUACCCUCUUCCUCGGGCCCUGGAAGCUGCGUGCGCCUCAGCUGAGGCCUGAUUUCGCCGUGGCUGGGGGCUGGGGCCGGAGUUGGGCCCGGCUUCUCUCCGGCUCCCCCAUUACGGUUUGGCAUCAGCAUCUAGAUUGCAGGUUACUUCUGCUUUUAUCCAAAGCGGUCCUUAAGGGAGAUGGAGUUCUGAUUGAAAUCCAGUCAAUUGGCGCCGUGGCUCAGAGGGCCCAGCGUGAGCACACUUGUAGGGAAAUUGCCCUGGGUCUGAGAGGAGGGGCAGGGGUGGGGGAGGGAACAGGACCCGCAGGCCUGCUCUGGAGCCUGUGAACGCGCUGCUGCGAGGACUUUAGCGGAUGCGCUCAGGUCGGUAUCCGCGGGAGUCCUGGAGGGAAAUCCGCUCUCCUUCUCCAGCUCCCUGGGAUUGAUGGAACCAGAAACCUCAAGCAAGGGAUCCCCAGAGGUCACUGCGUCCAGUCUCCAGCCUCAGACAGUGUCUGGGUAGUGGAGGAGGGGCCGAGUCUGUGGGACCGAGCUGUCUGCUUUGGUGGGUGAAGGAGGGUGGACUUCUGGGGUCUGGGUUGAGAUGUGGAUUAGUUCCAGGACUAGUUCCUGUUACUCGUAGGCGGGGAGAGGUCAUGGUCCCUGCUGAACACAUCUGGCUGUGUUCAGUCCUGAACUGCCCUGGGCUCCUCAGCAGUGUGCACAGGGGUCUGGCCUCCAAAUUUCUUGUUAACAGCCCAUCAGGAGCUGGAGGAGCUGGCCUGGCCUUCAAGGUGUGGAGGGGUUCCUGGAAGGAAGCAGAUGGGCACACGGAGGAGAAGAAUGACAAAUCCAUGCUUCCCCAAUGCUGGGGAGAGAAUAUGGUGGUGGGGAGGAAGCAUGGAGACCAGAAGCAUUCCCGGGAAUGCUUCUGGAAGUAUCCCAGAAAUGUCAAGAGCUCAUUCUGCCAGCUCUUCCGGGGCCAGCAAAGAACAUACAUAUCAUUUCUCCAUCCACUUUGGGACCUGCCUGAGAUGAACAUAUGUUUUAAAAGGAAUCCCAAUUGCUGCAGGAGCAGAUGGUGCUACAGGGGCAGGCAAGGGCAGGAGAAAGGAUACUGGCUGGCAGUAGGGUAGGAGUCCUGGGCUCUGCCUCGCCCCUUCCUCUUACCAGCCGUGUGAGCUGUGUGGCUGCGGGCAAGUCACUCCCCGGCUCUGUGCUGCCCCAUUUUCCUUGUGAAGAAUGAGUGGGUCCCCUGUAGCAUGCAGGAUGAGCUGAGGCCUCACUCCCCUGCGGUGGAGAGGACAGAACACUCUCUCCAUCAGCAGGGAAGACAGAUUUUCCUAUUUAUUAGCCUGUUCAGCUGGCAGACACAGGGACUGUCCUCUAGGCCAUGGGGUGGGGAAGAGGGGGACAGAGCCCCACACCAGCCCCCGCUGUGUCCAUCCUCUGCCUGUGGCUGUUUGCCUGAUUGAUUUGUUUGGUGGCCUCCCUGGCUGGGAUUGGGUCCCUGUGUCCUCCUGCACAUUUGCCUCUGGUCCCUCUCUGUGUGGUCAGGAGGGGGAGCUCUAGGUGUAGGGGCGGAAGAGACUGGAACAUCUAUCCAUCACGGACUGACUCUUGGGCUUGGUAAGGAUCCUAACAACCACCGGGUCCACCUGCCACCUUGUGCUCCGGGCCCCUCCCCAGAAGCUCCCCCUGCAGUGGGAGGCUCACUGCCUCUCGCUGAGCCACUCCCAGAAAGUUCACCCUUUUCUGGAUCCCAAGUCGAGUCCCUUGUGUCAUCUCUCAUUCAUCCUAGCUCUUCUUGUUGGCCUAGGUGUGAACUCCAUGCCUACAGGACCACCCUUCAGAUAUUUCAGGGCAGCGAUCUUGUUCAUCCCCUACUCCACCUUCUUGGGGCAAAACCUGCCUAGUAUCCUCCCUGCUGCUUCCCAGUCCCCUCACACUCUAGCUCUGACAAGAAGUGAUUGAGCUUCCAGUCAGAUGUCAGAGGCCCUGGUCUCCAGGGAGCUUCUAGUCUGGGAGAUAGUCUUCCUAGGACCUAAAGAAUGAAUAACAAAAUCACACAGGCAUUUGGGACUGUUGGAUUUCCAACUGGUAUGGCUGCUGGUCUGGAAACCUCCUCAGAGGUGAGUGGGUUUAGUCGUCUUCCAUGUAGAGAAGUCUUCCUGUUCUCUCUGAAACAGCUAUGCUCCCCCUCCUCAGAGACUGUGGGACUACUGGGUGCUCCGAUGGCGCUGGUGCCUGCUCCGGAGAGAAGUGGGAGAGAAUACUUUCCAGUUCUUCCCACCUCCAUCCCCAUCCAUCCUGGUGUGGGUACCACAGAAACCUGAGGUCCAGGGGGAAGCUUUCCACAGUGGGACCACCUCAGUGUCUUCGGUCCCCAGGGCACCUACUUUUUCUCCUGACUUCCAGAAGAUGUUCCCAGAGGGGCUGGUCUACGCUGCAAGAGUGGGCCCGCCACAUCUAGGCCUCCACCCCGCCCCCAGCUCUUAAUUUAUUAUUAACUCUGGAACUGACUUUGAAAUUAUGGAAGGCCAUGUUGUUUCUUUCCUCUGCAUCUCUUAUGGUCCCCAAGGGGAGGCGAGCUGAGAGUGCCAGAUACACAAAUAUGCAGCGAAAACCCUGUGGAUUUUUGGUUCUAGCAAGGGGAAGGAAAUUAGCUGUAAUAAGCUGCUGUCGCCUCACUGGAAAGCCUCCAGCACAGACCCUCGGAGGGGCUCCUGGGCCCCCUUCCUCUGCUCUCCCCACUUCCCGGCUGCAUGGCUGAAGAUCUCUGUCUUCAGCUUCCCCUGCAGGGGAGUGGCCUCCUCCCCACCCAGUCCUGUGACAUCACUGAUGGAGAUGAUCAAUAUCCCGGGCCUGUGAGGAGGAGGAGGAGGAGGAGACUGCAGGCACACAGAGAAGUGGUCUCUGGCCUCUUCCCAAGCCAUUAGCUUGAAUGGUGGUAGGAGAGGCAGGUGGGAGUCAAUUUCCAUUCUCCUAGAAUUACUGGAAGGCAGAGGGUUAUUUGGAAGUUUCUGAAAGGUGUGAGGUAUUCAUUGGCCCUCACACAAAAGGAUCAGUAGGCUCUGGUCUUUCCUUUUUCCUCUCCUGAGGAGAGCCAAGGGCUAAAACCCUUAAGUGACUACCCCACAGCAACAGCUGCACUUAGGCAGAAAAUAGCCUGGGCUGUGACUGGAGCCCUGGAAGGAACUAGUUCUAGCCCUUUGCUGGCUAACUUGGCCCAUCCUGAUCUGGCAUUGGGCUUCUCUCUGGCUUCUAAUGCAAAGAACAUAACUCAAUCAAAUGGCAGAUAUGAUGUUAAGCAUUCAUUGAAUUGAGUGGUUAAGUUCCCCCAUAACUUGCUGUGUGACCUCUGGUGAGUCACCUAACCUCUCUGGGCUUCACAUACUUUAUAUGUAAAAGGAGAGCAGGAGUGAGAUGAGUGCACCAUUUCUAAGACCCAGGAGUAAUCAUGCUGGGACACAUGUUUUAUAACCGUGGCCCAAACGCUCUUUCCUUCAUGUCCACCAGCCAAAAUGUUGGGCCUCACUUGCCGGUAAUGCUAUUACAUGGAAGGUUUUACGGCCAACAGGACAGUCAUGAGCUUUCACUACUAAUAAUUAUCUUUGUGAUUUAAAAUUUUAGCAAUAAGAUGGAUUCUUACCAAUAUUACUAUGUAUUAGUCUGUUUUCACAUUGCUGUAAAGAACUACCUGACACUAGGCAGUUAAUAAAGAGAAGAGGUUUCAUUGACUCACAGUUCAGCGGGCUGUAUAGGAAACAUGGCUGGGAGGCCUCAGGAAGGUGCAUGGGAAGCAAGCACCUCUUUACAUGGUGGCAGGAGAGAAAGGGCAAAGGGGAAGUGCCACACACUUUUAACCAACCAGAUCUCAUGAGCCAGCACUAGGGGGAUGGUACUAAACCACUAGAAACCACCCUCAUGAUCCAAUCACCUCCCACCAGGCCCCACCUCCAACACUCGGGAUCACGUUUCAACAUGAGAUUUGGGUGGGGACACAGAGCCAAACCAUACCAUACCGUAUAUUUUUACUUUUUAAAAAACUUCCUAAGAUUUUUCCCUUGGAGAGACAACAGGCUGUAAGAGUGAAGAGUGUGAGCCCAGGAGUCUGUCUGCCUGGAUUUGAAUCCUGGCUCUGCCACCUACCAGCUUUGUUAUCUUGAGGGUGUCCCUUCACUUCUCUGUGCCUCCGUGUCCUCAUCUAUAAAGUGAGAAAAAUGGCUGGGCGUGGCGGUUCAGGCCUGUAAUCCCAGCGCUUUGAGAGGCUGAGACGGGUGGAUCACCUGAAGUCAGUUCGAGACCAGCUUGGCCAACAUAGUGAAACCCCGUCUCUCCUAAAAAUACUGUAGUCCCAGCUACGGGAAGCUGAGGCAGGAGAAUUGCUUAAGCCCAGGAGGUGGAGGUUGCAAGGAGCCGAGAUUGCGCCACUGCACACCAGCCUGGCUGACAGAGAUUCCAUCUCAACAACAACAACGACAACAAAAAGCAGCGGGGAAAAUAAUACAACACAAAGCUGCUGUGGUCUGAAGGGCUUAAAACAGUACCUGGUGCAUAGUUAGUGCAAGCUUACUGAGUGUUGAGUGUUAUUACUGUCAAUGAUAAUAAUA